Cavia porcellus (domestic guinea pig) is the source of this 3244-nucleotide RNA transcript. It is a transcript of the gene named ADP ribosylation factor like GTPase 6, with no coding region annotated. The record is from RefSeq and is a predicted model, not a curated record. The transcript has 11 exons. NCBI's taxonomy places the organism in Eukaryota, Metazoa, Chordata, Mammalia, Rodentia, Caviidae.
UCGCCAGGACGCAGGCAGUCUCCCAGCGAACCCCGGUAGGGUGGCGUAAUGCGCAGCGGGGCAGCUGCCACACACGUAUUGCCCCAGUGAGCACCGACGUUUUCUGCAGUCGCUGUCACCACGUUGAGCCCGCGCUCCGCACCUACACUAGGACUCCGCACUCUUAGCUCAACAUACGGGCAGUGCUCUAGGAGAGGCCUAGCAACCUAGGAAAACCGUGGUGAGAGACCUUCUGGCGGCGAAGGCAGGCGCAGACGCUACCCAGCAGGCUGUGCGAGCCCCUACAACUCCCAUCAUGCUCCGCGGGUGACUGCGGAAAUCCUAGCAGAAUAAUCGGUAACUCGUCACCUCUGCUCAUAUUCAUCUUAACAGAGUUCCUUGGAGUGUCCAUGGGUUUUGUUUCCAGAGCCUUUCAACCCCAGAAGCAAAAGCGCAAUAGCCGAAUAGCUAAAAUUCCCGAAGAAGCGUGGCUUCUGGACCGGAAGACGUUCGUGUUGCCAAGGAAACCCCGCGCGCUAAGGCGCCUGCUCCGCAACUGAUGCUCAAGAGGAGACUGAAGCCGCCAGUUCCCCUAGCUUGUGGAGGCGACUCUGCGCUGGACAAGGAAUCUUUCCUAUGGAGGCGUAGAGAAAAAGGCUGAAGCACCAGAUUUCCAUCCCACAGGCGGUUAGCAAACUCUGAAAACAAAUUAACCGUACCCAGUCUUGGUAAGAAAACAACAAAUUGAAAGUUGUACCCACUGUUGCUACUUUCUAAAUAUUUGAAUCAUAUUAUGGGAUUGCUAGACAGACUUUCAGGCUUUCUUGGCCUGAGGAAGAAGGAGGUUCAUGUUUUGUGCCUUGGACUAGAUAACAGUGGCAAAACAACAAUCAUUAACAAACUGAAACCUUCCAAUGCUCAGUCUCAAGAUAUAGUUCCAACUAUAGGAUUCAGCAUAGAGAAGUUCAAGUCAUCCAGUUUGUCUUUUACAGUGUUUGACAUGUCAGGUCAAGGAAGAUACAGAAAUCUCUGGGAACACUAUUAUAAAGAAGGACAAGCCAUUAUUUUUGUCAUUGAUAGUAGUGAUACAUUAAGAAUGGUUGUGGCUAAAGAAGAACUUGAUACUCUUUUAAAUCAUCCAGAUAUUAAACAUCGUCGAAUUCCAAUUUUAUUCUUUGCAAACAAAAUGGACCUUAAAGAUGCAGUAACAUCUGUAAAAGUGUCUCAGUUGCUGUGCUUAGAGAAUAUCAAAGAUAAACCAUGGCAUAUUUGUGCUAGUGAUGCCAUAAAAGGAGAAGGAUUACAAGAAGGUGUAGACUGGCUUCAAGCCGUUGCAGUCAGGCCACUGGGUGUCAGUAAUGAUCCAACACAGGAGUACCAACAACCAAGUCUUGAUCAGAUCCAAGGUGCGAAGACAUGAAAAGUUAGCAUCUGGAAAUCUCAGCAAUUUUGAAUUGAAUGAAUAUACCAAAGGCAAACUGAAUAAAUUUGUUAAAAGAUGUGCAUGCAUCCAAGAAUGUGACAUUCUGCCUGCAUUUAUGGAUUCUAAAUGAGCUUUUUAAGAACACAAGGCAUCAGGCAUGCUACUCUGGCUAUUAAUAAUAGGAAAACUAAAUCUUCCCUCAAAAGGACGCCCUAGAUUUAACAACUUCUUGCUCAGAAGAAUACAUAAGACUUCAAUCUUCUUGCUGGAGGAUCAAAAAGGAAAACCUCACAGGACUGAAAAUUUCCAGGACAUUGGAGAAAGAGAUUGUCAAAGCAACCCCAUAAAGUAAUUCAUGGGCUUCUAGGAUUGACCUCAUCAUGCAUAUGAAUCCCAAACUCACUUUAAAAAGUGGACAGUGUACAAGAUAUAUUUGGUAAUGCCAUCCCCAGGUUGGCCACUUGGUAUAAAGAGCAACAGUUUUGAAAACAGAAGUAUCAUUACAAUUAAGGGCAGGAAUAGAGCUCCAUGGCAUUGCACCUGCUUGGCAAGUGCAAAGUCCUGAAAAAUUAAAAAGCGACAAAUUAUGUUGAAACUAUUGACCUGAAACCAACAAGCUUGAAUCUUGUUUUAAAAAUGAUCAGCAUCUCAUAGAAUUUAAAUAGUCUGAAUGGAAAAUAAUAUUCCAAAUGUCCAAAAAAUAAUCCAUUGUUGCUACAUACUCUAUACAGAAAAAAAAAAAAAAAUUGGAAAAGAAAAGGCAAAAAGCCUCAGAAUUGACCUUUAAUGACAAGGACAUUAAAACAGCUCUUACAAGAAUGAUCAAAGUAAAGAACAGAACAAAUGGAGAAAUGUUAACAUAAAACAUAGCAAAGAAAAUGAAAAUUUGAGGACUAAAAUAUACCUGGAAUAAAGUCUCAUUGGAAGAUUUUACUGCAAAAUGGAAAUGAAAGACUUUAGAAACUUGAUGACAAAUUAGAAAUCAAUCUAAAUAUCUAGAAAAACUGACUUAAGAAUCUUAGGGACUUGUGAAUAUUAAACAGUCCACAUUUAUCAAAUCAAAACUCUUAAAAAGAAAAAACUAGAGUGUAUAAAAAGUAUUUGAAAUCAUUUCAGCUAAAGUUUUCAAAUUGGAUGAAGCACUCAGGCAUAGGUCAACAGUAUGUUGCCUCUUAGUAUAAAAAUUAAAGAAGCUAGUGGGAUCCAUUUUGUACAAUACAUUCUGUGAAAGUAAAAGGGGAGGGACUGUCUAAAUAGGAAAGGCAAUGGCCAUUGUUAAUUAUCGUUAUUUGAAACCCAUAUUGUUUUUGUUGUUCUGUUUAGUUUGGUUUUAUUCUGUUUCAGUUUGUCUAAUCGUAUUAUAUUUGAUGGCAUGGACAGCUAUUUCAAAGAUAACAAAAUAUAUUAUGGUAGCCAUUUUUUAUUUCUUAUUAGCUUGAUUUGAAGCUCUGUAUUGCUUUCAUUGUUUUGUUUGAAUGAUUUUAUUCUAUUUUGUUUUGUUUGAUUAUAUCAUGUCUAAUAGUAUAGGCAACUACUUUAAAGACAGUAAGAUGCAUUAUGAUACCCAUUGUGGUUUUACUAUUCUUUUGAAGUCCUAUACUGUUUCCAUUGUUUUGUUUUUAUUGGUUUUAUUCUGUACUAUUUUGUUUGAUUUUAUUAUGCCUGAUGAUAUGGGCAAUUCUUCUAAAGAUAAUAAGAGGCAUUAUGGUAGCCAUUGUUGAUCUCCUUGUAUUUUGUUUUUAUGUCAGGUACUAUGUUCAUCUUUUUGUUUUGAUUGACUCUAUUCUGUUUUGUUUCAUUUGGUUUUAUUCUCUUCAAAAUAAAAAAAUUUAAAUUAGAAAA